AUAGAUUAAGAGUGAUUAAGUUUUGAAGAUUCAUAAACACAAAGAAAAACUAAAGGAUAAAAGAAUCCUUUGGACAAAUCCCAAAGUGAUCUAUUUAUAGUAAAAUGUUGAAACCCUAGAUUCACUAGAGGACAAGAGACUUGAGGCGGUUUGGGCGAAUGCUCGAUCUUGGGGAUCGAGUAAUGAGGGUGCUGCAAAGUCUGCUCCUUUGUGUCUAUGCUCCGAGUGAUCAAUUGAUCGAGUAGAUGCUUCUUCCUCUCCUAUCCGUAUGCUCAGAUGUCUGGUUGAGUGGGGAAUGAGGAGGAUCCAAAGACGCUUUGAUAGAUCAACAAGUCUUGUAGAGUUGGUCACCCUUGGUCGAGUAAAUGGGUCGAGUAGAGGAUCGAGUAGAAGGGUCGAGUAGAUCAAUCUGCUUCUUCUUCUAAGGCUGUCUUGAUCGAGUAAGAGGGUCGAGUGAAUUGCUGCCUCCUCUGUGGCUGCUUGGAUCGAGUGAAUGGAUUGAGUAGAAUGCUCUGCUGCUUCCCUCCUUGUUGGAUAGAGUAUAGGGUCGAGUAGAGCCCUUUUGAGCUCCUUCUGACCCUGAAAACACACCAAAACAUGCAAUGCGUAUGCGAGAUGAUCCUAAAUGCCUAGGUGUGCAAAAUAAGCUAAAAUAGUGCAAAAUGAUAUGAUACAAUGAGCAAAUACGAAGCUAAAUGAUGAUAAAUACACACCUAAAAUGAGUAAAAUACAGUGUUAUCAAUCUUCUAACAAGGAAACACUACUUAGGCUUUUAAGAUGUGGUUGCGGUUUAGGUUCUUAUACUCAAUCAUACACAUGACAUCAAGUCAUAUUUGACUCCAAAACACUAACCAAGCUUCUUCUUGCUUCUCAAAUCUUUGAUGGUGUAGCCGUAAACCAUAUGAGUCUUUGUCUUUGUAUCUUCUAACAAGGAUACAAUACUUGGGCUUUUAAGAUCGGGUUGCGGUUCUAUUUCUUAUACCCAAUGAUACCCAUGACAUCAAGUCAUAUUUAACUCCAAAACACUAACCAAGUUUCUUCUUGCAUCUCAAACAAAACUUUGAUGGUGUAGCUGAAAUCUGUAUGAGUCUUUGGCUUUGCAUCUUUUAACAAGGAAACACUACUUAGGCUUUUAAGAUCCAGUUGCAGUUUAAGUUCUUAUACUCAAUCAUACACAUGACAUCUAGUCAUAUUUGACUCCUAGAAACUAAGCAAACUUCUUCUUGCUUCUCAAAGCUUUGAUGGUGUAGUCACAGUCCGUAUGAGUCUUUGUCUUUGUAUCUUCUAACAAAGAUAAAAUACUGGGAUGGGAUUGAAAGUAGGGUCGCAGCUUCCAAGCCGACAUUAGGACUGCUAAAGCGAGUUUUUCCAUUUGCGGGUAGCGAGAUUCCGCGCCGGUGAAAGUCUGCGUGACGUAAAAGAUUGGUUUUUGCUCACCUCUGUCUUCUCGGAUUAACACUCCGCUAACUGCAAUAUAUGAUACGGCAACAUACAAAUACAGUGGUUCUCCGACGGGUUUUGCGAGGAUGGGUGGUGUUGCCAGAUACUUCUUGAGCUCCUGAAAAGCAUCUUCGCACCGGGUCGUCCAUUCAAACUUCUUAUU
Molecule: small RNA, 1603 nt
Filed under: Arabidopsis thaliana (thale cress)
Lineage: Eukaryota; Viridiplantae; Streptophyta; Magnoliopsida; Brassicales; Brassicaceae
Description: ATSL266670
Source: RNAcentral